UCGAGAAUCUUCGGCAAUGGGGGGCAACCCUGACCGAGCGACGCCGCGUGCGAGAUGAAGGCCUUCGGGUUGUAAAUCGCUGUCAGUGGGGAGGAAAUGCCGGUGGGUUCUCCCAUCGGUUUGACCUAUCCGCAGAGGAAGGACGGGCUAAGUUCGUGCCAGCAGCCGCGGUAAGACGAACCGUCCAAACGUUAUUCGGAAUCACUGGGCUUAAAGGGUGCGUAGGCGGUCCGGCAAGUUGGGCGUGAAAGCCCUCGGCUCAACCGAGGAAUUGCGUUCAAAACUGCCGGGCUGGAGGGAGACAUAGGUGAGCGGAACUUAGGGCGGAGCGGUGAAAUGCGUUGAGAUCCUAAGGAACACCAGUAGCGAAAGCGGCUCACUGGGUCUCUUCUGACGCUGAGUGCACGAAAGCUAGGGGAGCGAAGAG
Molecule: ribosomal RNA, 427 nt
Filed under: uncultured bacterium
Lineage: Bacteria
Description: bacterial SSU rRNA
Rfam family: Bacterial small subunit ribosomal RNA
Source: RNAcentral